CCAAGACAGAGACUAACAAUGUUUUCCACCAGGAAGUACCAAGAACCAGGAGCUAAGAUAUUGUUUCCAUGACAAAGUUGCUGAGGACAUGGCUUCUAUCUGAGCAUGUAAAUCUUUAAGGAUAUUUGUCACCUUGCCAGAAAUGUCAGGGAUGUAAACACAACAACUAACAUUUAGGUUUACAGAUGUUCUUUCCUUUUAAGAUAUAGUCUUAUAAUUUAAUGUCAUCUGAUCUUGCAAAAUCCUUUUACUAGUAUGACCUGUGUCUAAUAGAGAAACCUUUAAUUCUGCUACUUAGGGCUGGAUAACCAUACUAGCAAACACCAAGCCUAACUGUGUAGGUUAGGAAUAUCUGUGGGCCUUAAACUAAAAACUACUCUGGCAGUUCCUUUUAAUAGUUAUCAGACAUUCCUGUCUGAGAAUCUCUUUUGUAGCCUCCAGUUUACUUAUUUUUGGAAGUUACAUUUAAUUAUUAUUAUCAUUUAAAAUGUCUAGGAACAGCUGUGCUUUGGCUUUAACUAUCUUUGCUAAGUGUUUAAGAUGAAGCAAGUCAAACUGACUUUUGUUCUUAUCUAUUGUCAACAGUCAGCUGAGUUUCCCUGGGAGUCCUCGGGGAACUUCAUUGCAGCUUCUCAGUUCUGCUGGUGCCAUUUACCUUAGGAUGGGUCCAGGCCUUGCUUGACCAUGUGGCUUCCCUCGGAAGCAUCAGGGAUGUUUCCCAUUUUCUGAUGACCCUCCUUUUCACAGCAAAUGCACCGAUUGGCUUUCUGUCCUCCACUGGUCUCAUUAAUCUCCCUGCUCAGGAGGUUAUGUGGCCUAGAGUUG
Molecule: long non-coding RNA, 825 nt
Filed under: Marmota monax (woodchuck)
Lineage: Eukaryota; Metazoa; Chordata; Mammalia; Rodentia; Sciuridae
Source: RNAcentral